Molecule: long non-coding RNA, 279 nt
Filed under: Carica papaya (papaya)
Lineage: Eukaryota; Viridiplantae; Streptophyta; Magnoliopsida; Brassicales; Caricaceae
Description: long non-coding RNA (CPAP_LNC005398)
Source: RNAcentral
CGGUAUUUAUGAAAGAAAAAUAAACAACCAGGGGUCAAAAUACAAUUUAAAAAAGUUACACCACGUCAGCUGCUCGGUCAGCAGCCCCGACCAACUAGGACGUGCUAGGUGGCAGAGACGCUGACGCGGGAGGCCAUGCGGGGGGAGCCACGUGGGCGAUCCGUGUGCCUGCGAUCAAACGGCUGAGAUCCGUUCCUGCGGGCACGGACAGCCCAUAUCGAAAACGCGCACGGACGACCCAGAUUGCAUCGCGCACGAACUACCCAGAUUGAAUCGCGC